RNAcentral lists this unclassified non-coding RNA (507 nucleotides) under uncultured Glomeromycotina. RNAcentral describes it as "SSU rRNA". It matches the Rfam family "Eukaryotic small subunit ribosomal RNA", at positions 591 to 1092 of the family's 1831-position model. The record is from RNAcentral. Lineage: Eukaryota; Fungi; Glomeromycota.
CCAAUAGCGUAUAUUAAAGUUGUUGCAGUUAAAAAGCUCGUAGUUGAAUUUCGGGAUUGACGUGAUGGUCAUGCCUUAAGGGGUAUGAACUGUUACUGUUGAUUUCUCACCUUCUGGAGAAACUUGAUGUCCUUUAUUGGGUGUCUUGCGGAUCCAGGACCUUUACCUUGAAAAAAUUAGAGUGUUUAAAGCAGGCAUUUUUGCUCGAAUACAUUAGCAUGGAAUAAUAGAAUAGGACGGCAGGGUUCUAUUUUGUUGGUUUCUAGGAUCACCGUAAUGAUUAAUAGGGAUAGUUGGGGGCAUUAGUAUUCAAUUGUCAGAGGUGAAAUUCUUUGAUUUAUUGAAGACUAACUACUGCGAAAGCAUUUGCCAAGGAUGUUUUCAUUAAUCAAGAACGAAAGUUAGGGGAUCGAAGACGAUCAGAUACCGUCGUAGUCUUAACCAUAAACUAUGCCGACUAGGAAUCAGACGAUGUUAAUUUUUUAAUGACUCGUUUGGCACCUUACG